Long non-coding RNA from Rhineura floridana, 751 nucleotides. RefSeq lists it as uncharacterized. NCBI's taxonomy places the organism in Eukaryota, Metazoa, Chordata, Lepidosauria, Squamata, Rhineuridae. The record is from RefSeq and is a predicted model, not a curated record. The transcript is spliced from 3 exons.
AGUACACUCACCAGUGAUGUCUGUCUGCCGCCUUCCUGGACAUCUUUUCAGGCUUCAGAAGAAGAUGGGAAUGCAGAAAUAAUAAGCAGAAAAGGAGAGGCAAGAGAACAGAAACGGGAAACACUGAUGUCCGUUCCUAUCCUCUCUGGAAAGAUCUCUUAUGUCCCUUCAAAGUGACUUGGGGACUUUCACAAGAAGGCAAAGAAGCUCAGUGAAUGCCUCCUUCUUUCAUUUCUCAGUCAAAGUGGUGGAGUGAUGAUGUCCUCUUUGCUCCUGCUAGGGGAGGAUGGUGGAGAGGCUAGUCCUGAUUUGUUUGACGAGGAACAACCCUGCCCACUGCAACCGGCUGUGGUUCCCCAGAGGGGCCCCUCCCUCUCUCUUUUUUUCUGCUUCAUCCUGCGGUUCUGGAACCAGAUCUUCACUUGGGCUUCAUUGAGGAGUAAGGCUGAGGCGAUUUCCACCCGUCGGGCUCUGCUCAGGUAUUUGUUGAAGUGGAAUUCCUUCUCCAGCUCUGUCAGCUGCUUGGUGGUGAAGUUGGUUCUGGGAGAGCAAGAGGAAGAUGUCCUGUCCCCAGUUGGGUCAUGUGAUGUUACUAAGGAUGAAAAAAGAAGAAGGGAUCAUCACUCAAGAUGCCAUCCGGGUUUGUAGCAGCAGCAUCCUCUUUUCGCUAUGUUUUUUCUGCCCAGUUCAUUUCCUACUCAGAGGAAUUGAUAUUUAUUUAGCUAGACAAUACAUAAACCACUUGAUCAAA